This 536-nucleotide ribosomal RNA is filed under the name uncultured Glomus. RNAcentral's name for it is "SSU rRNA". It matches the Rfam family "Eukaryotic small subunit ribosomal RNA", at positions 555 to 1092 of the family's 1831-position model. Lineage: Eukaryota; Fungi; Glomeromycota; Glomeromycetes; Glomerales; Glomeraceae. The record is from RNAcentral.
CGAAGUCUGGUGCCAGCAGCCGCGGUAAUUCCAGCUCCAAUAGCGUAUAUUAAAGUUGUUGCAGUUAAAAAGCUCGUAGUUGAAUUUCGGGAUCAAUAUAUCGGUCGUGCCUUGGUACGUACUGGUAUCAUUGGUUUCUCCUUUCUGACGAACCAUGAUGUCAUUAAUUUGGUGUUAUGGGAAGUUAGGACUGUUACUUUGAAAAAAUUAGAGUGUUUAAAGCAGGCUUUAGCUUGAAUACAUUAGCAUGGAAUAAUGAAAUAGGACGUUCGAACCUAUUUUAGUUGGUUUCUAGGAUCAACGUAAUGAUUAAUAGGGAUAGUUGGGGGCAUUAGUAUUCAAUUGUCAGAGGUGAAAUUCUUGGAUUUAUUGAAGACUAACUACUGCGAAAGCAUUUGCCAAGGAUGUUUUCAUUAAUCAAGAACGAAAGUUAGGGGAUCGAAGACGAUCAGAUACCGUCGUAGUCUUAACCAUAAACUAUGCCGACUAGGGAUCGGAUGAUGUUAAUUUUUUAAUGACUCAUUCGGCGCCUUACG